Molecule: ribosomal RNA, 566 nt
Filed under: uncultured prokaryote
Description: bacterial SSU rRNA
Rfam family: Bacterial small subunit ribosomal RNA (bases 1-499)
Source: RNAcentral
CGCUGGCGGCGUGCCUAACACAUGCAAGUCGAACGGAGUUACUCUCCAGCUUGCUGGAGAACUAACUUAGUGGCGCACGGGUGAGUAACACGUGGGUAACCUACCCGAAAGACUGGGAUAACACCCCGAAAGGGGUGCUAAUACCGGAUACCUUUAUAAGUUUGCAUGAACUUAUAAAGAACGUUUUUUCGCUUUCCGAUGGGCCCGCGUCCCAUUAGCUAGUUGGUGAGGUAACGGCUCACCAAGGCGACGAUGGGUAGCCGGCCUGAGAGGGUGGACGGCCACACUGGGACUGAGACACGGCCCAGACUCCUACGGGAGGCAGCAGUAGGGAAUAUUGCCCAAUGGACGGAAGUCUGACGCAGCGACGCCGCGUGAGCGAUGAAGGUCUGCGGAUCGUAAAGCUCUGUCCUUGGGGAAGAGGCGAAAGCUUGACGGUACCCAGAAGAAGCCCGGCUAACUACGUGCCAGCAGCCGCGGUAUACGUAGGGGCGAGCGUGUCCGAAUACUGGCGUAAGGGCGCGUAGCGGCCUUUAGCUGGAGUAAGCCGCGCUACCCGAUGCAUC